UUGACAGCCACAGAGACUGCUGUCUUCUAUUUAUCUACAAAGCUGGUACAGCAUGGGCAAUGGUAGCAUGGGCUACUCUUUGAAUAAACUUCAACCUGGAUUUGGAGGGAAAGUAUCUGUGAGUGAAAGGGUAGUUCAUUCUCUAUGUCCAUCCUGUUUUGGCUUCU
RNAcentral lists this small RNA (167 nucleotides) under Chrysemys picta bellii (western painted turtle). Its description in RNAcentral is "TUC338 (ENSCPBG00000018854.1)". Lineage: Eukaryota; Metazoa; Chordata; Testudines; Emydidae. The record is from RNAcentral.